This 451-nucleotide ribosomal RNA is filed under the name uncultured bacterium. RNAcentral describes it as "partial 16S ribosomal RNA". It matches the Rfam family "Bacterial small subunit ribosomal RNA", at positions 29 to 523 of the family's 1533-position model. The record is from RNAcentral.
AGCGAACGCUGGCGGCAGGCCUAAUACAUGCAAGUCGAGCGGCCGUAGCAAUACGGCAGCGGCAGACGGGAGAGUAACACGUGGGAACGUACCUUUCGGUUCGGAACAACCCAGGGAAACUUGGGCUAAUACCGGAUACGUCCGUAAGGAGAAAGAUUUAUCGCCGAAAGAUCGGCCCGCGUCUGAUUAGCUUGUUGGUGAGGUAACGGCUCACCAAGGCGACGAUCAGUAGCUGGUCUGAGAGGAUGAUCAGCCUCACUGGGACUGAGACACGGCCCAGACUCCUACGGGAGGCAGCAGUAGGGAAUAUUGGACAAUGGGCGCAAGCCUGAUCCAGCCAUGCCGCGUGAGCGAUGAAGGCCCUAGGGUUGUAAAGCUCUUUCGGCGGGGAAGAUAAUGACGGUACCCGCAGAAGAAGCCCCGGCUAACUUCGUGCCAGCAGCCGCAGUAA